This is a long non-coding RNA of Felis catus (domestic cat), 1863 nucleotides long. RefSeq lists it as uncharacterized. The record is from RefSeq and is a predicted model, not a curated record. Lineage: Eukaryota; Metazoa; Chordata; Mammalia; Carnivora; Felidae. The transcript has 3 exons.
GGUUAGGGAAUAUAUCGUGAGAAUGCCUGGGGAAGGAACAUUCCAGGGAAGACGGAACUUCCAGUGAAAUGUCUUUGACACAGAAAUAUACCUAAUAUGGUAGAAGAAAAGCCACUGAGACCUGUGUGGUGAAAGGAGACUAUUGUGUGCCCAGUAUUAAAAGAGAUUCCAGAAAUAUAAAUAUAAUAAUAUCAAGUGAUUGAUGGUAAUGAUGAUGAUGAUGAUGAUGAUGAUGAUGGGGAGUUAACAACAGUCAACCUCUAGUUUUUCUGAAGGACAGCAGCAACACUGGUGAGGCCAGUUACAGAAAUGGUUACUCACACUGGAAACCUGAAUGAUAGACAACUUGAUUUCUGUUCUCUCUACCCCUCUCCGUGAAACCAUUCACUAAACUAUGAUAUUACCUACUACAAUUUUUUUUUCACAUUGAUUCUUUGUUCUUCAAACACUGAUCUAAGUGAUCAUUAUUAUGUGACUUCUAGUGUCCUUCAACAAUCCCCUGAGAUCUGAUACCUGAAUUUCUCUAACCUACAAUUUCUUCACCCUGCUGUCACUAAAGAUAUUUUGUGAAAGCAGGUUUUAUGACAGGUUCUUGCUAAAAAGCCUGGAUGGUGUCCAGUUGCCACAGAACAAAGAAAAUUUGUUUCAUCACUUGAAUUAAUUCAAUUUUAUUUUUUGUAGCUGAUCCUGGAGACAAGUUCAAAAAGAUGGGAAAGUAGAGUAGAAAGUUAUCCAUGAAAAUGUGAAAAUAUACAUCCAAGUGAAGUCUUAUCAUACUAGAAGCAUUGUAGAAUUUUUUUGUCACCUCCAAACAGUCACAAUAGGAGUAGAAAACAGUAAGAUGGUGAGAGAGUAAAAGAAAUGAUGUGUACAGAGGAAACAAUAAAGUAUUGACAAGCCAAUAAUAGUGAAGGAGAGAAAAAUGAGGUGACCCAAAGGCCAACUCACAUCAUCAAGUUUGAGGACAGAACAGCAAAAGUGAAAGACUCCAGAGACAGAAGAGUCAUUGACUAGAGAGAACAAAAUGAAUGAUUCUAAGAACAUUUGAGUCAUCAUAAGACCAAGCCAAAAUAAGACAGGCAUUGACAGAGAGAUCAAGCAAAAGAAUGGGAGGCUGGUAAGGAUUUGAGGCACAAUAUUUUUAACCGUAUGGGUAUCUCUUUGCUUAUCAUCUUCCAAGCUAGUGAUGCCAAAGAUAUUGAGGGGCAGGUGAGUGGAGGAUGGAUAUAAAUAGUCAUUACCAUACAUUUCUGUCCAAAUAAUGAGAAAAUGCAAGAGUCACAGAAAGUUAUAUUUCAUAUUAAUAAGAGCAAUACACUUACUAUGAUCAUGACUAAAACAGAUUUCAUACACACACACACACACACACACACACACACACAUAUAUCCUUAUAUAUUUAUAUAAUUUUUCUACCAACAAAUGUAGUUGAUAAUGCUGGCAAUAUAAGAAAACCACAUAGAGAGCCACAAAUAAACCUGUGCAUAUAUGAUCAACUGAUCUUUGACAAGAGUGCUAAGAACACACAAUGGGGAAUGGAUAGUCUCUUCCACAAAAGGUAUGGGAUAAACUACUGAAUAUAAAAAAAAAAUACAAGUGGAUUCCUAUCUUACACAAAACUCAACUCUAAAUGGAUUAGAGUCUUAACAAUGUAAGAUCUGCAACUGUAAAACUCCUAGAAGAAAACAAAAGGAACACUUUUCUUGACAUAGGUGUUGGCAAUGACUUCUUGGUUCUGACAUCAAAAGCUCAGGCAACAAAAGCAAAACUGACAGGUGGGACUAUGUCAAACUAAAAAAAAAAAAAAAUUUCACAGCAAAGGAAACAACAGAACGAAAAGGAAACCUACAAUAUGGGAGAAAAUA